ACAAAAAAAUUCUUCCUAGAUAUCUACACUGUGAGAUUCCUGAUGAGUUUCUAGAACCUCAAUUACAGGCACCUCUGCUUCGCUGAGCCCCAAAUUCAUGUUCAGCCUGCCCACUGAACCAAUAGCAUGGCCAUCUCCCCUCAUUUCUCAGGAAAGCCCAUUCAGACUGCAGGGCCCUUCCUCGGGUCUCCAGCGCUGACCAGCCCGAUGCUUCUUUCCCCUCCCACCAGCAGAGGGCGUCCUCCCCUCCAUUCUAACUCGCUUGGCCCGUGUCGCAGCCUGCUCAUUUUUCUGCCCUUCACUCUCCGCUGGCUCCUUUCUCAACAUCAAAACUUCUCAUCUUUCCAAAUCAACAGCCCUCAAAUCCAUGCCCCGCUAGAAAGUAUCCUCUUCCUGUCCCCCUCUUCUCUCUCUCCAGCGCUGAAGAAGAAUCUCAGAACAGGGACAUGGCUGGCUCAGUCUGUAGAGCAUACAACACUUGAUGUCAAAGUUGACGUGACUAACUUGGAGACCAGUGAGUCUUGGCCAUCUCUGUAACCCUGUCUACAGAGAAUGCAUCCAAUCAAUGUUGCAUUGAUGCAUGGCAGAUACACGAAGUCUCCAACUCCCUCUGGCCUGAAUGAGUUGUUUUGUAAGGUGGUAAGCUUCCCAAUAUCGCUGGGGGUAGUCAAGACUGGCAGGAUAGCCCUGAAUGGUAGCACCCAGGGAUUUCCCCCAGUUUGAUAUCCCUCCUCUACUAUUCUGCAUUCGUUCUCUACUUCCUAGACCGCCUCUUUAGUGAGCCAACUCCUACUCCACCGAAGAUGCUCCUAGACCCCCUGCCAAAUAGCACCUCAUUAUCCUCCAGGGCUUCUAUAACCCUUUGCAAACCACGUUCUUCUCAGUGCCAGGACUGUACCUAGAGUCCACGCCAGGUCUCCAUUCUCUGGGAACUUCCACCUUGCUCUGCCUACGUUCUUAGCCUGGCCUCUAUUAUAAACCCACCAGCCUCCAAAUUGCUCUGCUCCCCCGCCCCCGCUCCUGCCUCUACUCCGCUGUAUUCCUGUCCCCGCCCCCUUAAUCCUCACCAGCAGGUUUCCUCCCCGGGCCCCGCCUCCCAAGACUUUGCUCGGUAGGCCCCGCCCCUCUCGUUUCCUACCACACCCACCCCGUCCCAGCCUCCCAGUGGCGCCCCCUUCAGUAGGCCGGGGCCUCCGCCUCCACCUGUAGAGGGUCUUGCGUGGUGCGAGCUGGUCCUCACUCAGGCCCUGCGCGAUGUAAUAAUCGCCGACGAGGCCGAGGAUGCGGCCCCAGAAGAGGACCCGAUCGAAGCGGUAGUCACGUUUCACCAGCAUAAGGGAGGUAAGCAGCGAGGCCCGACGGUCGGGGCUGAGGCCCUGCCCACUGCCGGACGCCAGCUCCAGCGACAGCAGGAGGCUCUCUGCGUCCAUUGCGCCCAAGACUCUGCUCAACGCCGGCCAGGUUGCUAGGAGAAGCUGUCUCCAUGGAGACCAAAGCUCUGCCCUCUCGCGCUGGAAGGACUCCGCCGACCGCCUGCGGACCCUGCCGUGUCAGAGCCUCAAGCCAGCCCUGCUCCGCACCCAGCCCUUCAGAAAAACUGGGGCACACACUAGCUCCAGUACUCUUUCCUUCUCGCAUUAGGACCUCAUGUGUUCAGCUGUGACAGUAAUGGAGUAGUUUCCCCUAACAUAGCAGGUUCCCUGUCAGGGCCCAGUGUGAAGCCGGAGAAGGGAGUCCUGAGGCUCUCCAGCUCUACCACUUUGGGCAGACUGGAUGAGGUUAACUAUUUCAGAGUAAGACCCCAGAGGACGUCCAGCACAGUGUGCAGCACUAAGCCUCUGAGCCAAGUGGACGGGGUUGGAGGCCAGGAUUCACCAUGCAGGCAAGCCGUUCCGUUUCCCAAGCCUCAUCUAUAAACUGGGAACAAUACGUACUAUGGGACGUUGUUACAUGAGAUAAUGUAUGUAAAGUGCUUCAAACGUAAUAUAAAAUAUCAACUAUUUUUUGUUUCCUUAAAAGACAAAAACAUUCUUCUUAAAAAUAAAAAAAUUGUAUAUAUUUAUACUGUUCCCA
Molecule: long non-coding RNA, 2073 nt
Organism: Suricata suricatta (meerkat)
Lineage: Eukaryota; Metazoa; Chordata; Mammalia; Carnivora; Herpestidae
Exons: 3
Source: RefSeq, a predicted model, not a curated record